Frieseomelitta varia is the source of this 814-nucleotide long non-coding RNA. RefSeq lists it as uncharacterized. Lineage: Eukaryota; Metazoa; Arthropoda; Insecta; Hymenoptera; Apidae. The record is from RefSeq and is a predicted model, not a curated record. The transcript is spliced from 3 exons.
GUUUCGCCCAGCGUAGUGGCCCGGUCGCCGCUCCGAGCAACCGAUCUCGCGUGCAACGCCGAUCGCGACACCUUUCCCUCUCGUCGCGUGUGUGUCGUUACGUCAGCUCGUUCUUGGUGUAUCUUUUGGUGCGUGAGUGAAGUAUCUCUCGCGAGAAUUGGAGAACCGUGCAAAGUGGCGAUCGGUAGGGUGGUUAUCAGCCGAUUGAUUGUUCAUAUUCGGGAAAAGGAGUAAUUUGUAGAAAGUAAAUACUACGUAUGCAACUGUUUUGUUGUAGCGUGUGACGUUUGGUCGAUAUCAGGUUAAUUUAGUUGAAUCUGAUCGAUCGAGAGCAGAUUGAUAAAGAUCGUUUGGAUAAUCUGCAACGGAUCUGUGCGAGAAGUGGAUUUACAUUGAAUCGAAUUGAAAGAAAGUUACUUUCAAUCGACACAAAAAUUCUUCGAGUCGGAUAGGUCAAUAAUACGGUGGUCGGUCGGUAACCACACGAUAACCGAUCGAUCCUUACACCACUCUUGUGCAAUCUCUUCAACAUCUAUCUUCGGACGAGAAAAAUCCAUCACAGACCGGGUGAUAGAACGAACCAGUGAAUUGCUCUCUUACGAAGGAGGUCGCCAGUGUUUCUUUUUUAGCGUCGAUCGCGAAACAAAAGCGGAAGUGCGGCCAGCAUCGUCGUGCGAUAUUAGUCGAUAUUGGUGUCGGUGCGCUCGUUUCAAAGAACGUGGGGACAGUUUGGUGGUUCGAGCGAAAGAUGCUGCUACAGUGAGGGAGGAACAAGCGGAAGCAACGUGGCGGGUUUCACCGUGGCCGUGAACAA